AGCCCCUAAACUAAAUUUUAAAAUAACUUGUUGUUUUCUGAGUUAAACACUGAAAUGUUUAUAGAUGGAAUGAUACUGGGUAUUUAAGAAAUAACCCCACAUUGUGGACUGAAGAGAGGGAAGCAAGUGGAAUUUUAGAUUAAAUAAGAAUUCCUUAGCCGACGAAGUCGUGGCCACUAGAUGCUAACUACGUGUGAGUUCAUUUCAUUCUUCGCUCUACUUUUGUAUAUACUUCAUUUUCAUAAUAAGUUGACCAUUUCACAGAAUUUAAAGCUAUUACUCUACUGGUUUCAGCAUUUUAUGUGAAUAUUACAGGUUGGGAAUGUCUACCACUUGAGGAGGCAGAAAAUACAGAUUUGCCCAAACCUAGUCUCAUGCCUACAAGCUAGACUGAGGGAACAUAAACUCCUAUGGACACUUUCAAGGCAAGUGGUUCUCUACAUUGUAGCCCUUUGGCUCUACUAAAUUAUUUAGUCAGCCCUAAGAUUAGGAUUGGAAAAGAAUCUACAUAGAAGCUAAGGAUCUGAAAGUAUCAGCAUCAGUAAAGGAAACUUGAACCCUUGGAAUGUCUUUGUGUACCCUCUGGUGUGUUUAUGCCCAACCUUGUGUGAAGACCACAGCUCCAUGCCACACUGUUGACUUGGCAGUCCAGUUAAAACGAAUCAACAGGUCCUCUUUCCUCUGGGGUUCCAGGAGGCAGCAGAGGAAGAGGUAUGAAGGACAGAACAAAUUUGUGCUCCUUAGCCACCACGUGGAGCGAGCUACCCUUUAACUGAACCAGGAACAUUCAUCUCAGGGGUUGGUCGAGUGAAAGAUACUGGUCUUGAGCCAUUAUAUAUUUAGGAUCUUUAAAAAAAAAUACUGCUUUAUGGUAAGUAAUACACUUGUCUUUAGAAGCUUUGAUACAUAUUGUUAAACUACAUCACUCAAAGUCUAAGCAGUGAGGGUAUCCCUGCUGCUCUCUUUAAAAAAAAUUUUUUUUAUUUGAAUGUAGUUGACAUACAAUGUUAUAUUAGUUUCAGCUGUAUAACAUAGUGAUUUGAUGAGUUUAUAAAUUAAGCUGUGCUCAUCCAAAGUGUAGCUGCUGUCACCAUGCAACACUAUUACAGUAUCAUUGACUGUAUUCCUUAGGCUGUGCCUUUUAUUCCCGUGACUUACUCAUUCCAUAAAUGGAAGCCUCUAUCUCCCACUCUCUUUCACCCAUUUUGCCCACCUCGCACCCCUUCCCAGCAACCAUUCAUUUGCUCUCUGUAUUUACAGGUCUGAUUCUGCUUUUUGUUUGUUUGAGGGUUUUUGUUUCUUUUAGAUUGCACCUAUGAUUUCUAACCAAGAUUAUACUCAAACGUUUACAGUCAAUUUUAAUAUUUACUAGAAAAGGUCUGGUAAUACUUUCUAGAGAUUCUCCUACAUUUAUCCUUCUACAUGACCAUUAUAAUCAUGUUGCCAAUUUUCCUAUAAAGGUUUAAAGGAGAUGGUUAAGGCUGCAACUGAUGUAAAAUUAGUAAUUUUAGCAUUCUUUCAUCAUUGAAACGUACAUAUAUUCUAAUUAUUUAUUGUUAUGUUGCUGUUAUAAACUGUUUUGUAAUGUAUAGAUUUGCAAAGUUAAGUUAUUUUCUCACAUGAAUUUCUUGGAAAUAUGGGAAUUCAGAUCACUAGUAGCAAUAAAUCUACAAUUGUUCUUAAAGAUCAUAGUUUGCCUCUCAUAAAGAAUAUGUACAGACAGUUUCAUCAGAGUAAGCCAGUUUGACCCCAAAGUCAAAUAUCCUGUUUUGAUAUUAGCAUUAGUUUUUUUUUCAACAUAAAGAAAAUAAAAUGUUACCUCUUCAUUUAAUUGCAUUUCUUCUGUAUCAAAAUUAAAGUUUAUAGGCAGAUAUUGAAGUUUAUUGAAGUUUAUAGCUUCUAGGCGGGUUCAAAUUCCUUUAAUGUAAAUUAUUUAUUAUCUUUGUUCACUUAUCUGUUGGGGUCUUGAUUUGAAUAAAUUGUAUGUAUUACAGAUGGAUCAUCCUUGUAGUGAUCUGUACUUAAUUAAGUUUUCUAGGAUUUGUUUUUACUUAAUUCAACAAUCCAUCAGGAAUUAGACUGAUAAACUGUAUGUGAGCUAUGUACCUAAGUUAAGUUUUCCACAAAUUCUAAUUAAUUAUUCUCAUUUAUUAAUUUUCUUGUCUCUGUUAUUUCCAGAUGUUACCUAUGUCGAAUAAAAAAGUUAAAGUUUCUUUCAGACAUUUUCACUAUAUUCUUUUUAUCUUCAUGAAACUUAUUUUUGU
This is a long non-coding RNA of Lynx canadensis (Canada lynx), 2264 nucleotides long. RefSeq lists it as uncharacterized. NCBI's taxonomy places the organism in Eukaryota, Metazoa, Chordata, Mammalia, Carnivora, Felidae. The transcript is spliced from 5 exons. The record is from RefSeq and is a predicted model, not a curated record.